This 69-nucleotide transfer RNA is filed under the name Apotamonautes hainanensis. RNAcentral's name for it is "tRNA-Met". It matches the Rfam family "tRNA". From Rfam's summary of the family: Transfer RNA (tRNA) molecules are approximately 80 nucleotides in length. Lineage: Eukaryota; Metazoa; Arthropoda; Malacostraca; Decapoda; Potamidae. The record is from RNAcentral.
UGAAAGAUAAGCUAAUAAAGCUAAUAGGUUCAUACCCUGUAAAUGAAAGUUCACUCUAUUCUCUUUCUA